AUUGAACGCUGGCGGCAGGCCUAACACAUGCAAGUCGAGCGGAUGAAGGGAGCUUGCUCCUGGAUUCAGCGGCGGACGGGUGAGUAAUGCCUAGGAAUCUGCCUGGUAGUGGGGGAUAACGUCCGGAAACGGGCGCUAAUACCGCAUACGUCCUGAGGGAGAAAGUGGGGGAUCUUCGGACCUCACGCUAUCAGAUGAGCCUAGGUCGGAUUAGCUAGUUGGUGGGGUAAAGGCCUACCAAGGCGACGAUCCGUAACUGGUCUGAGAGGAUGAUCAGUCACACUGGAGCUGAGACACGGUCCAGACUCCUACGGGAGGCAGCAGUGGGGAAUAUUGGACAAUGGGCGAAAGCCUGAUCCAGCCAUGCCGCGUGUGUGAAGAAGGUCUUCGGAUUGUAAAGCACUUUAAGUUGGGAGGAAGGGCAGUAAGUUAAUACCUUGCUGUUUUGACGUUACCAACAGAAUAAGCACCGGCUAACUCCGUG
This 484-nucleotide ribosomal RNA is filed under the name uncultured bacterium. Its description in RNAcentral is "partial 16S ribosomal RNA". It matches the Rfam family "Bacterial small subunit ribosomal RNA", at positions 30 to 507 of the family's 1533-position model. The record is from RNAcentral.